UUGCAGAAAUUUGCAGCCACGUCACCGCCACAGGUCUAACAAACUUUCCCAGCCCUUUGCGGACAGUUCUGCAGAGGAAUCCCUAUGCAGAAUAUCUAGAAUGAACAUUUAUGAGCAUUUGUAGUGGUUUCCAAAGAACAAGAGGACAUAACAUUGGAGUUAUUUGUGCUUUUUUGUUUUUUAGAGGAGUCUCAUUUUACAUUCGUUAUUGUUUUGACAUCGCCUGAAGACUACUUUGAGGCCUCAUUCUUACAGACUUGCACCAAUAUUUCGGCUCUUUCUUUUUGGAAUACCAAAACAGCGCUAUGAAUAUCUUCCGUCUAGCCGGUGACGUGUCACAUAUCGUUGCUAUCAUCAUUCUAUUAGUGAAGAUAUGGAGGUCCAAAUCCUGUGCUGGUAUUUCUGGGAAGUCUCAGGUGCUUUUUGCGUUAGUCUUCACUACAAGAUACUUGGACCUGUUCACUAGCGUAAUCUCCAUCUACAACACAGUUAUGAAGGUGGUGUUCCUGUCUUUGGCAUAUGCCACUGUGUACCUGAUCUACAUGCGUUUCAGGAGCACCUUCAACUCAGAGAGUGACUCAUUCCGUGUUGAGUUCCUACUUGUGCCUGUGGCUGGGCUUUCCUUCCUGGAAAACUAUGCAUUUGCCCCCCUGGAGGUAAAUGUGCCAGGUUCAAUACUUACUGAACAUACAGAUCCUGUGGACCUUCUCCAUCUACUUGGAGUCAGUGGCCAUCUUGCCCCAGCUCUUCAUGAUCACCAAGACCGGCGAGGCAGAAUCCAUCACCACCCACUACCUGUUCUUCCUGGGUCUCUACCGAGCCCUGUACCUGGCCAACUGGGUGUGGCGCUACCACACCGAGGGCUUCUUUGACCAGAUUGCUGUGGUGUCCGGUGUGGUGCAGACGAUUUUCUACUGUGACUUCUUCUACCUUUACGUUACCAGGGUGCUCAGAGGAAGUGGAAAGAUGUCCCUGCCCAUGCCCAUCUAAAGAGUCAGGGCUGUUUUAAGCGACAGUUGAGCAGUUCAGUAACUGAAAGCACCUCUGCCCUCCAAUCAUACUUAGUAAUGGACUACAGUCUGCAGUGUCACAGUACCCCCUGUAUACCCUGGGGGGUAUAUACUGUACCCAGGGUGCAACCGUCGUGUUGGUACGCUUUUCCCGAGACUAAAAUGACCAAAGAACGUUGUCCUAUGUGUUUGUGCAUGAGUGGGUGGAACUGAAUGUUAAUGAGAAUUGAGUAAAUUGAAUACUGUGGGAAUUUUUAUUUUAUUAUACUUUUUUUCAUGGAAGCAGAUAUUGUCCCGCUUCAAUUAGUCCAAUGGAGUUUGUGCCUUAUUUUUCCUUUUCUAGUAAAUGGCAUAUCUUGAAUGUCUUAUUACAUCAAAAUGGUGUAAACAUUGUGUAUAUGUGAGACAUUUGUUCUGCUUUCCUGUCUUUUCACAAUUUCUACAUAUAACAGUGACCAAACUUCAAGGGUUACAUUGUUUCACCAAGCAGAGUUCAUUGGGAGUCUUGUAUUUAGGCUGCUAUGGGUGAUAUUUGCCAUCCUUGUCAAGAGUUAUGCUAUGUUCUUCCCUUUAUGAAAAUAAGUCCAUGGAGAUGCCAUACAGAACGCACUGUCAUGUAUGUAACUCUUAUAUCUGUCCACUUCUUGACUGAACCAAGGUUCUUCUUAAAUAUGUUGUAUUCUGUACUUUGAUUUUACCAGUCAUUUUCAUUCCUUUAAUAUUAAUGCAUUUCAUUAAGCAAAAUGAAUACACAUUUUUGUGAUGUCACAGUUCAAACAAAAUAUAUGUUGUAUUUGAUGAGGCAUCAACAGUUAUUUCUCACUAACUAGAGUUCAUUCAUAUCUCAACAUUUAUUGACAAAAUUUUGGGACCAGGAUUACAAUGGCAAAGGCAGAUUAACGCUUCAACAAAAUGGAAAGGUACUUACACUAGGUAUCUUGGUACUACUAGAUUUGUAUAUGUGUGCCAAACUUUUACAACUGUGGUGCCCAUGUUGUAAUGAUCAACAUUUUAAUACAAAGAACCUUCAUCAUUUGUAAAUCAGGUCAGUAAAAGGUAUAUUUACUGGUUCA
RNA transcript from Salvelinus namaycush (lake trout), 2083 nucleotides. It is a transcript of the gene named ER lumen protein-retaining receptor 3-like, with no coding region annotated. The record is from RefSeq and is a predicted model, not a curated record. Lineage: Eukaryota; Metazoa; Chordata; Actinopteri; Salmoniformes; Salmonidae. The transcript has 5 exons.